AGUACAUAUACCAGUGAAAUAAAUCUUGUGUGGUUAUUUGAAAUCCUUUGUGAACAGAAUGCCUAUUGAAGUGUCAAAAUAUUACGCGAAAGAAUCAAACAAAAUUUCCAACAAACUUGUGCAAUAGCUGGUUAUAUGGAGGAAGUAUAGCCAUCAUAAACAUCUGCAAACUUAUGUCCAAAUGCAAGAAGUUUCGGGAGAAACAUUAUCUGAUGCGAGCGAGUUUUUCCUCUAUAAGCGUAUAGAGAAUUUGCGAAGGAAUAAAAACGUAUGGACGGAGAAAAAUUACUCAGAAUCAUGACUAUCUCAUGAAUAUCUCAAGAGCUGUAAGAAACUACAAGUUAAGUUAUUAGAAAAAGUUACUCAGAAUCAUACGCCAACCAACAUACGAGUAUGUGAAGGUCGAGGUUAUCGGACGCUGUCU
Molecule: long non-coding RNA, 424 nt
Organism: Nomia melanderi (Alkali bee)
Lineage: Eukaryota; Metazoa; Arthropoda; Insecta; Hymenoptera; Halictidae
Source: RefSeq, a predicted model, not a curated record